UGGUGAAACGAGUAGGAAAAUUUUUGUUUUCUGCGACGUUCCCCAACAAUAGUACAACAGAUGAUUGGAGAUAAAUUCGACGUCUAUAAUCAAAUUUUCAAAACAAGCAUAAAUUGCACAGAACACCACUCAAAUGGUCAGGAGGAAAAACGCGCAUCUUCUGUUCCUUUGAAUGGGCUCCAGCGUCACUGGGGCAACAACCUCUACAUCUUCGGCAUCCUUCCCCAGUCUGCAACAAUAAAUAAAAAUAUUAGGCAGAAAUAUGCAACUGGCCUGAUAUCCGUAUAGUGACUGCCGCCAUCGUGGUGCAGGUGCUCGACCUGAAUUAGUGAGAGCUAACUGCUGAAUCUUCACGGCGAUUACAGCCUUGUGAGCGCUCCCAUGAAUUAGAGAGAACCACUCCCUGCGCGGAUUACAACCAUUUUCUUUUAUCUAUGUGAGAAUGCUUGCACUUCCAAUACUAAUCACAAACAGCUACAUGCCUUGGCGAUCGGCCGAUCUAGAUAAACUGAAGAAAAAGGAAAAAGGUAUCUCAUUCUCAUCCAUCUACCUACCUACAUGUAGUUCUGAACUUAGCCUCCGUGGUGAGCUUCUCCUGCUCGCUGGCCAGAGGCUGCCCGUGCUCGGUCGCCUUGCUGGGGGUCGCCGAGUUUGUGCUUGAAGGCAUCUCUAACUCCGAUAGUUAGUGUAUGGAAACUACUCAGAAAUUGCAGCUCGGUGAGGUCGGCAGGACUGUGAAGGAAGCUGCUAGCUUAGAUGUAAUUUCAGACGUAGUAACACACUCACAGUACCACCGGGGCAGCUAACAAUUGAUCCGGUGUCUGAACCACACAAAUUUAUCUUCUUACUCAUCGCAUGAAUACACUCCCCCGCUUCUCUUCUGAAAUCGUGAGCAGGCAAUGGUUUGUUUGGGGAUUACCUUGAUCAUCGUAGAGCUUCCAGUGAAGAUGGCGGCGACAGUCGGGGGCGCAUCGAAGGGGCUCGAAGGGAGAGAUGGACGCGUGCGAACGCUUCAUUCUCGGCUCCGGCCCUGGCCUGCUACGGAAGGCGCCGAGGCGGACGGGAGACGCUGGUUCGGGAGAAGCGCGAGGAUGAUGAGGGCUGGAGGGGCGGCAGAGCAGGGCGAGGGGAAGUCCACCCGCGUCCUACGCUCGUCGUUGGCACGGCUGCCUCCGCGGCAUCCUCCACCUAGCGACGGGAUGGGGGGUCUGUGCCAAUGGCGUGGGGGCGGUGACGGGAUCUGAGGGCCUCAUUCUCGCCCACAUAACCGGAGGAGUUAGCGAGGAAGAUGCGGCGUGCGUGGGGCGUGGACGAAGG
Molecule: long non-coding RNA, 1317 nt
Filed under: Triticum aestivum (bread wheat)
Lineage: Eukaryota; Viridiplantae; Streptophyta; Magnoliopsida; Poales; Poaceae
Description: long non-coding RNA (TAES_LNC005153)
Source: RNAcentral